RNAcentral lists this ribosomal RNA (414 nucleotides) under uncultured soil bacterium. Its description in RNAcentral is "bacterial SSU rRNA". It matches the Rfam family "Bacterial small subunit ribosomal RNA", at positions 26 to 438 of the family's 1533-position model. The record is from RNAcentral.
AGAGUGAACGCUGGCGGUAGGCCUAACACAUGCAAGUCGAACGGCAGCACAGUGGUAGCAAUACCAUGGGUGGCGAGUGGCGGACGGGUGAGGAAUACAUCGGAAUCUACCUUUUCGUGGGGGAUAACGUAGGGAAACUUACGCUAAUACCGCAUACGCCCUUCGGGGGAAAGCCGGGGAUCGCAAGACCUGGCGCGGAUAGAUGAGCCGAUGUCGGAUUAGCUAGUUGGUGAGGUAAUGGCUCACCAAGGCGACGAUCCGUAGCUGGUCUGAGAGGAUGAUCAGCCGCACUGGAACUGAGACACGGUCCAGACUCCUACGGGAGGCAGCAGUGGGGAAUAGUUGGACAAUGGGCGCAAGCCUGGAUCCAGCCAUACCGCGUGGGUGAAGAGGCCUUGGUGUAACGCCUUUGUU